UACAGAGGUCUCAAGCGUUGUUCGGAUUCACUGGGCGUAAAGGGUGCGCAGGUGGCUGGGUAAGUUUGAUGUGAAAGCCCCGGGCUUAACCCGGGAACGGCAUUGAAUACUAUUCGGCUGGAGGAUUGGAGGGGGGACUGGAAUUCUUGGUGUAGCAGUGAAAUGCGUAGAUAUCAAGAGGAACACCAGUGGCGAAGGCGAGUCCCUGGACAAUUCCUGACACUGAGGCACGAAAGCCAAGGGAGCAAACAGG
Molecule: ribosomal RNA, 253 nt
Filed under: uncultured bacterium
Lineage: Bacteria
Description: partial 16S ribosomal RNA
Rfam family: Bacterial small subunit ribosomal RNA
Source: RNAcentral